AAUGGUACAAAACCGUCGCCCCCUAAAAUAUAGAUCUUGAAAAACUCAUCAAAGAUCGCGGCGGUGAACCAACCGUCGCCGCCUAAACCUUUAAACACAUGCUGAAAAUUUCUCAAAGGUCACAACGGUGAACCAACCGUCGCCGCCUAAACCUUUAAACACAUGCUGGAAAUUUCUCAAAGGUCACAACGGUGAACCAACCGUCGCCGUCUAAACCUUUAAACACAUGCUGGAAAUUUCUCAAAGGUCACAACGGUGAACCAACCGUCUCCCCCUAAACCUUACCACACCCGCGCUCUGAAAAUUUAUCAUUUUUCCUUUGUUCACAUAAAAUUGGAGAGGGAAACGUACGACGAUUGAAAAACAUUCAUACCUAAAAUAUCCAUAACACUUGCUCAUUGGAGAAAGAGGGGAACAUUUAGGGUCGUGUUCCAAAACUAAGAAAAAUUGCUUUGCUUCACGUACUGCUUAUGAAUAUCUCUCUCAGCUCGAUACAAAUUCGUCCAUAAUCGUGCCUUGGUAUCUCUCUCUCAACUCACAUCACCGUCAAAGGAAUCACCAUCACCAUAAAUCUUAACAGCCCCUAUUUGUGAUUGAACCGUAGAGCAGGCAAAGUAUUCGAGUAGGCGGACGACAAUCUGCAGAUUGUGUUAGUUGAAAAGUGUGAGGCUUAUCCCAACCCCUGGUAGAGGAAGUGUAGGAAGAUUUUGUUUUGAAUUGGGAUGAUACACAGUUGAGAAGAAUUACUAGCUUAUAAUGAAUAACUUUUCCCGUGUAGUUGCUUCGCUACUCCUUGUUUGCGUUCUUCAACUUUGUUUGUGAGUUGCAAGGUCAACAUUCUCUACAAAUGUUUGUGUGUCUUUGAGAAAUGGAUAAGUCAUGAAUUACUAAGCCACAAUCAUCGAUUGCGUAUCAACAAGGGAUAAAAGAAUUUAUUGACUUUGCAUUUAAAGGUGCAAAAGAAAACGACGGUGUAAUAUGCCCUUGUAAACGUUGUGGUUUCAGAAAAUCAAAGAGUAGGAGUGACAUGUUCGGCCACUUAAUGUGGUCACCAUUUCCGCAGGGAUACACCAUUUGGAUUCAUCAUGGAGAGUCCUAUGUACUACAUAGUACUAUCUCCCAUAGUACUACUCCAAAUAUGGUUGAGGAUAAUAUCAUUGUCGAAGAUUCUAUUCAGAACAUGAUCAAUGCUGCAUUUGGAGUUGAUAGGAAUCAUGCUAAUGAAAUACCAUCUGCAUCAAAUUUUGAGAUUUACCAAGAAGAUUAUGUGAUGCCAAGUUUAACUCAGGAAAGAAAUGAGGCCAAGGAAUACUAUGAAUUGGCUAGAGAAGGAGAACAACCUUUAUAUGAAGGGUGUAGACAAUAUUCAAGAUUAUCUUUUUUGGUAAAGUUGUACCAUAUAAAGUGUUUAUGUGGAUUGAGUGAGAAGGCAAUGACAAUUAUUUUAGAGUUAAUAAAAGAUGCAUUUGAAUAUGCAAACAUUCCAAGUUCGUUCUAUGAAGCCAAGAAAUCAAUCACAAAAUUGGGUUUGAAUUAUGUAAAGAUACCUGCAUGUCCAAACGGUUGUAUGCUUUAUUGGGGAGAAGAUGAAGAGAGAGAGGCUUGCAAAACUUGUAACACUUCGAAAUGGAAAUCAAAUGAAGAGGGCCAUGUUAACAAGAAAAAGAAGAAAAUUCCAGCCAAGGUUCUUCGUUAUUUUCCAUUAAAACCUCGAUUACAAAGAUUAUUUUUGUCGUCAAAGACGGCCGAGGAUAUGAGAUGGCAUGCGAAUGAUACUAACAAUGAUGGAACGUUAAGGCAUCCUAGAGAUUCAGAAGCUUGGAAGAAAUUUGACUUGACACAUACUUGGUUUGCAUCAGAUCCAUGAAAUGUGCGUCUUGCAUUGGCUAGUGAUGGUUUUAAUCCAUUUGGUGUGAUGAGUACAAAUAAUAGUAUUUGGCCAGUUGUUCUCAUUCCAUAUAACACUCCUCCGUGGGUUUGCAUGAAGCAGACAUCGUUUAUAAUGUCAAUGAUAAUUCCUGAUAAAGAAGCACCAGGAAAAUAAUAUUUAUGUAUAUUUACAACCCUUAGUCAAAGAGUUGAAGGAGUUAUGGACAAAUGGUGUGGAUACAUAUGAUUCUUUCAAGAAAGAGAUGUUCACGUUACAUGCAAAUUUGAUGUGGACGAUUAGUGACUUUCCAGGUUUGGGUGCACUUUCUGGAUGGAACACAUACACAGGACUUGCUUGUCCAUCGUGUAACUUUGGAACUACUUCUCUCCGUCUUAAAGCUAGCCGUAAAUGGUGUUUUAUGGGUCAUCGUCGUUUCCUUAAUCAGAGACAUAGGUUUAGAUUGAAUAGGAUCCACUUUAAUGGUGAACAAGAAAUACGGAGUCCACCGAGAACAUUAUCUGGACAUCAAAUUUUUGAACAGGUUAAAGAGGUUAAAGUUGUCUUUGGUAAAAAGCCAGUGAAAGAAAAAUCGGUAAAAAGAAAACAUGAGGGACAACCUGUAGAAGGUGAUAGUACACAAUGUGAUCCUACACAAGGUCAUCCUCAACAAUGGAAAAAGAAAAGCAUAUUUUUUGAACUUCCGUAUUGGAAGGAUAAUCUUUUGCGCCAUAAUCUUGAUCCGAUGCAUAUUGAGAAAAAUGUAUGCGAUAAUGUCAUAUGUACUUUACUAAAUGAUAGGCAAAAGAGUAAAGACCAUUUUAAAGCUCGAGAAGAUCUUCAAAAUAUGGGCAUAAGACCUAAUCUUUGGCCUGAUGAAAAUGGUAGAAUUUCUCCUGCGGCCUUUAGUCUAACGGGUAAAGAUAAAAGGAAUUUUUUAACAAUUUUAAAGAAUAUUAGGGUGCCUGAUGGUUAUUCAAGCAACAUAUCUAGAUGCAUUGACUUGGUAAAUCUCAAGGUGAAUGGAAUGAUGAAGAGUCAUGAUUGUCAUAUAUUAAUGGAACAACUUCUACCAUUAGCCAUUCGCACAACAUUACCUCAUGAGAUUUCAGCAGUAUUGAUUGAGUUGUGCUCAUUCUUUAGACAACUAUGUGGUAAGGCAUUGAAAAUUGAAGACUUGGAAAAAAUGCAAAACCAAAUUGUCCUCACUUUAUGCCACAUGGAAAUGUUAUUUCCUCCCUCGUUCUUCACUGUUAUGGUUCACUUGGUUGUUCACCUUGUUGAAGAGGUUAAGCUUGGAGGUCCUGUUCAUUAUCGGUGGAUGUAUCCUGUUGAAAGGUACUUGGGAAAACUUAAAUCGCAUGUGCGUAAUAAGGCAAAACCAGAAGGGUCUAUUGCAGAAGGAUACCUUUUUGAAGAGAUUCUUACAUUUUGUUCAAGAUAUAUAGAAAACAUUGAGACUAGAUGGAAUCAACCUGGACGUGUAGAUGAUGAACCUAUUGGUGAUAUCCAAACAGGUUCACGGGUAACAGAAUUAUUUCCUAGAGUCGGAAAACAUGUGGGUGGAUCUUCAUAUUACACCCUAACACCAAUUGAAAAGUUGCAGGCUCAUAGACACGUUUUAACGAAUUGUCCAAUAGUUGAUGACUAUCUAAAGCAGUUCUGAAGUAUUACUCAGAACCAAAUAAGACGCGGUCAAAGAAGUGCUUCUGAGAUAGACAAGAAGGUUCAUAGAGAGUUUGCUCAUUGGUUCCGCAAUCGUAUUUGCAACAAUCUUGACAACAUUGAUGGACCAGAUAAAGAUGUCCUCAUUAGUCUUGCUCAUGGCCCUUAUGAUAAAGUUAAAAGGUUUACCGCAUUCAAUGUCAAUGGGUUCAAGUUUCAAACGUUGGAACGAG
Molecule: RNA transcript, 3765 nt
Organism: Lathyrus oleraceus (garden pea)
Lineage: Eukaryota; Viridiplantae; Streptophyta; Magnoliopsida; Fabales; Fabaceae
Exons: 7
Source: RefSeq, a predicted model, not a curated record